Molecule: long non-coding RNA, 632 nt
Organism: Rhinichthys klamathensis goyatoka
Lineage: Eukaryota; Metazoa; Chordata; Actinopteri; Cypriniformes; Leuciscidae
Exons: 2
Source: RefSeq, a predicted model, not a curated record
GGCUAUUAUAAUAAAAUCUGAUUAAAUUACACAAUACAAUACUAAAUGAUUUCAACUGAAUUACGAGAUGUAAUGCAUUAUAUUUUUAUUAACACAGAACUACAAGCAAAAUGAACAUUUACAUGGACAUUUAUAGAGCUUUUUAAAAUACACAACAAUACAGAACAGCUUUAAACAGAGAUACUGUAGGAAACUUUCAUUUCCCAAAUACUUUUGUGAUAGUCCUUCUGGCUAUACAGUGUGAAGAUCUGAAGGAAAAUAUCUUCAUAGCUGUGUGAACAAUGUGGAAUUAACUGUAAGGUUAAAUAUUUUGAGAGAAAGGUUUAUUUUUUUAGGUCCAUCCUGGAUUAACCAACUAGACUCAAAUAGAUGCAGUGUCUUUUGCUGUAUGUAAAGUCAAAUCUGUAAUUUGAAGUGAUUCAUAUUGUAUGUGCAGUCAUUUUUUGCUAUCUUGAGGCCUAGAUGAUGCAGUCAGAAGGACUAUCACAAAAGUAUUUGGGAAAUGAAAGUUUCCUACAGUAUCUCUGUUUAAAGCUGUUCUGUAUUGUUGUGUAUUUUAAAAAGCUCUAUAAAUGUCCAUGUAAAUGUUCAUUUUGCUUGUAGUUCUGUGUUAAUAAAAAUAUAAUGCAUUA